RNAcentral lists this ribosomal RNA (369 nucleotides) under uncultured Gluconacetobacter sp. RNAcentral describes it as "bacterial SSU rRNA". It matches the Rfam family "Bacterial small subunit ribosomal RNA", at positions 1139 to 1505 of the family's 1533-position model. Lineage: Bacteria; Pseudomonadati; Pseudomonadota; Alphaproteobacteria; Acetobacterales; Acetobacteraceae. The record is from RNAcentral.
UCUGAAGGAACUGCCCGGUGACAAGCCGGAGGAAGGUGGGGAUGACGUCAAGUCCUCAUGGCCCUUAUGUCCUGGGCUACACACGUGCUACAAUGGCGAUGACAGUGGGAGGCCAGGUCGCGAGGCCGAGCCGAUCCCCAAAAGUCGUCUCAGUUCGGAUUGCACUCUGCAACUCGAGUGCAUGAAGGUGGAAUCGCUAGUAAUCGCGGAUCAGCAUGCCGCGGUGAAUACGUUCCCGGGCCUUGUACACACCGCCCGUCACACCAUGGGAGUUGGUUUGACCUGAAGCCGGUGCGCGAACCCGCAAGGGACGCAGCCGACCACGGUCGGGUCAGCGACUGGGGUGAAGUCGUAACAAGGUAGCCGUAA